GAUGAACGCUAGCGACAGGCCUAACACAUGCAAGUCGAGGGGCAGCACAAGGUAGCAAUACUGAGGUGGCGACCGGCGCACGGGUGAGUAACGCGUAUGCAACCUGCCUGUAACAGGGGAAUAGCCUCUUGAAAGAGAGAUUAAUGCCGCAUAAUACGAGAUUCGGGCAUCCGGAUUUAGUUAAACAUUUAUGGGUUACAGAUGGGCAUGCGUUUCAUUAGGUAGUUGGUGAGGUAACGGCUCACCAAGCCGACGAUGAAUAGGGGUUCUGAGAGGAAGGUCCCCCACACUGGUACUGAGACACGGACCAGACUCCUACGGGAGGCAGCAGUGAGGAAUAUUGGUCAAUGGACGCAAGUCUGAACCAGCCAAGUCGCGUGAAGGAUGAAGGUAUUAUGUAUUGUAAACUUCUUUUGUCAGGGAAUAAUGGGUGUCACGUGUGACGCAGAGGAAUGUACCUGACGAAUAAGCAUCGGCUAACUCCGUGCCAGCAGCCGCGGUAAUACGGAGGAUGCGAGCGUUAUCCGGAUUUAUUGGGUUUAAAGGGUGCGUAGGCGGUUUGUUAAGUCAGUGGUGAAAGUUUGCGGCUCAACCGUAAAAUUGCCAUUGAAACUGNCGAACUUGANUACAGUAGAGGUAGGCGGAAUUCGUGGUGUAGCGGUGAAAUGCUUA
This 672-nucleotide ribosomal RNA is filed under the name uncultured prokaryote. RNAcentral's name for it is "bacterial SSU rRNA". It matches the Rfam family "Bacterial small subunit ribosomal RNA", at positions 28 to 692 of the family's 1533-position model. The record is from RNAcentral.